The sequence is a ribosomal RNA, 208 nucleotides long. It matches the Rfam family "Bacterial small subunit ribosomal RNA", at positions 568 to 775 of the family's 1533-position model.
CGCGUAGGCGGGAUGGCAAGUCAGAUGUGAAAUCUGGGGGCUCAACCCUCAAACUGCAUUUGAAACUGUCGUUCUUGAGUAUCGGAGAGGCAAGUGGAAUUCCUAGUGUAGCGGUGAAAUGCGUAGAUAUUAGGAGGAACACCAGUGGCGAAGGCGGCUUGCUGGACGACAACUGACGCUGAGGCGCGAAAGCGUGGGGAGCAAACAG